Molecule: transfer RNA, 75 nt
Filed under: Actinomycetota bacterium
Lineage: Bacteria; Bacillati; Actinomycetota
Description: Actinobacteria bacterium tRNA-Arg
Source: RNAcentral
GCCCGUGGAGGCAGUGGAGAGCGCCAGCAGGGUUUCCUAAACCUCGUGCCGGAGGUUCGAGUCCUCCCGGGGGCA